Molecule: ribosomal RNA, 97 nt
Filed under: uncultured bacterium
Lineage: Bacteria
Description: partial 16S ribosomal RNA
Rfam family: Bacterial small subunit ribosomal RNA
Source: RNAcentral
CACACCGCCCGUCACACCAUGGGAGUGGGUUUCACCAGAAGUAGCUAGCCUAACCGCAAGAAGGGCGACUACCACGGUGAGAUUCAUGACUGGGGUG